UACUAGAGUAGCACUCGCAUAUCAAUAAGCGGAGGAAAAGAAACUAACAAGGAUUCCCCUAGUAACGGCGAGUGAAGCGGGAAGAGCUCAAAUUUGAAAUCUCAAAGGGUUUCCCUUUACGAAUUGUAGUUUAAAGAAGUGUUUUCUGUUGAGGUUUUGGUAAAAGUUCUUUGGAAUAGGACAUCAUAGAGGGUGAGAAUCCCGUAUUUGACCUUUACUUUCAACUUUGUGAUACACUUUCAAAGAGUCGGAUUGUUUGGGAAUGCAGUCCAAAAUGGGUGGUAAAUUUCAUCUAAAGCUAAAUAUUGGCGAGAGACCGAUAGCGAACAAGUACCGUGAGGGAAAGAUGAAAAGAACUUUGAAAAGAGAGUUAAACAGUACGUGAAAUUGUCAAAAGGGAAGCGUUUGACACCAGUGUUGUUUUUCUGAAAAUCAAUUAAAGAACUGUUUAUGCUAAGCUGUUUAGACUUUAUCAGCUAUCUGUUUAGUUUUGAGCUUUUCUUUAAUGCACUUUUCAGUUAACAAGUCAACAUCAAUUUCUUUUGCUGUAAAAAAGCUUGAGGAAGGUGACUUGAGAUUCGUCUUAAGUGUUUAUAGCCUCUUGCCUAUGCAGUCGGAGAGAUUGGGGUCUGCAGCGUAGAUCCUUCGGGGCUAAAUGCAUUUGUGCUAAGUUAUAGCAUUUUAUAGACAACUUGUUGACUAUGAUUUGUCUUGUAGCUUACUCGCUUAUGUUAUUUUACCUACGCUUAGGAUGUUGAGUCAUCACACAUCUCU
Molecule: ribosomal RNA, 774 nt
Filed under: uncultured Neocallimastigales
Lineage: Eukaryota; Fungi; Neocallimastigomycota; Neocallimastigomycetes; Neocallimastigales
Description: partial large subunit ribosomal RNA
Rfam family: Eukaryotic large subunit ribosomal RNA
Source: RNAcentral